GGGAGUCGCCUGAGAGGCAGGGAAAUAAGGUCCAGAAGUCACCUCACCCUGUGGGCGCUUUGGUCCAGACCUCUGUCUUGCAUGGCAGGGAGCCAGCACGCCCCUCCCCAGGACCCCAAGAAUGAGGGCCCACGAAAUGCAGGCUUUGGUGAAGACAGCCUCAUGAAGCACAGGUCAGGGGCUUCUUGGGAUGUCUGAACAAUCACAUAUGAAUGAGUCACUUACGACAUUUACCUGUUGGCUUCACUCACUUACUUAUCUUAUUAAAGAAUGUCUACU
Molecule: long non-coding RNA, 279 nt
Organism: Dama dama (fallow deer)
Lineage: Eukaryota; Metazoa; Chordata; Mammalia; Artiodactyla; Cervidae
Exons: 3
Source: RefSeq, a predicted model, not a curated record